Molecule: long non-coding RNA, 880 nt
Organism: Salvia miltiorrhiza (redroot sage)
Lineage: Eukaryota; Viridiplantae; Streptophyta; Magnoliopsida; Lamiales; Lamiaceae
Exons: 3
Source: RefSeq, a predicted model, not a curated record
CUGUCAAUCAGCCAACAAUUCUUUUCAUAUAAUCUCAUUAUCAGCAGCAACUCUCUCCAUUCUGCACUAAUAACCCACGUGAAAGAGGAACUCCAUUCAUUGCUAUUCUGCCUGCCAAACUUUAGAGUGUAUCUAUCCACUGAUUCAAUAUCAAUAACAGCAGCCACCAACACCAAAUAUUUGCAGGUCAAGCGCGAGAGUAAGAACUACACAAGGAGUUAGAGUACCUUAGCAAAACUUUGCUAUCAGGUGGGCAAUUCCUUACGCGUAAAUAAAAUGCUAUGCAAAUGUUAUGCUUUAAAAUGCAAAUUGGAUCUUCAAGUAUGGUAUGCUUUAUUACGCUUAAAUGAGUUAAGCUUUAUUAUGCUGCACGUUAAAUGAUUUACGCUAUGCUGUUUAUACUAUUUACGCCCUAUGUAAUUUACGCUUGAUUACACUUAUUUACGCUUGAAUGCUUUACGCUGAUAAGUUUAUGCUUAUGUUUGAUGCUUGCGUCUGUUGGGGGAGGCCUCCCUCAACAGUACGAUGCCGUGUCCGUUGAGGAGGGCCUUCCUCACGGCGCGAUGCCCGUGUCCGCUGAGAGAGGCCUCUCUCGCGGCGCGAUGCCAGUAUGCCAGUAUGCCAGUGUUACAGCGUCUAUUGGGGGAGGCCUCCCUCAAUAGUACGAUGCCGUGACCGCUGAGGGAGGCCCCCUCUCACGGUGCGAUGCCCGUGUUCGUUGGGGAAGGCCUUCUCCACGACACGAUGCGUGUUUAUGAUUGUUAAUGAUGAAGAAUGCGCUCAUGCUGUUUAUGAAUUUGGAAAUGUUUAAAGAGCAAAGGAUUUGAAAGAAACUUAUGCCUCUUAUGCGAUGUUGUUGAUGUUAUGUUAUGCUUGGCAA